UCCCGGUUGGCCCGGGCGGUCUCGCGUGAAAAAUACAACACACGAUAAGGGUUGCGCUCGUUGCGGGACUUAACCCAACAUCUCACGACACGAGCUGACGACGGCCAUGCAACAUCUGUCACUGGUCCAGCCGGACUGACGACUUAGUUUCUUAAGUCUACGACCAGGAUGUCAAGCCUUGGUAAGGUUCUUCGCGUAGCAUCGAAUUAAACCACAUGCUCCACUGCUUGUGCGGAGCCCCGUCAAUUCCUUUGAGUUUUAAUCUUGCGAUCGUACUCCCCAGGCGGCACACUUAACGCGUUAGCUUCCCAGCACAAAGGGUCGAUACUUCAUACUAGUAGUGUGCAUCGUUUACGGCGUGGACUAC
RNAcentral lists this unclassified non-coding RNA (367 nucleotides) under uncultured bacterium. RNAcentral's name for it is "contains 16S-23S intergenic spacer region". The record is from RNAcentral.